Molecule: long non-coding RNA, 591 nt
Organism: Quercus lobata
Lineage: Eukaryota; Viridiplantae; Streptophyta; Magnoliopsida; Fagales; Fagaceae
Exons: 5
Source: RefSeq, a predicted model, not a curated record
AGGCGAGUUUCGACCCGUGCACAAUGAUAUCAGAAUUUGGUUCAUGACCAUUACUACAAUCAUUGAGUCCAACGAAGAUAUGAACUCAAUCCAAAAAUACCGCUUUGAGUUUGCUGACUAUGACCAAAUAUAGAACCAAUGUUACAACUACACAUAUUUAAUAGAUGUUGUUGGAAAGUUGGUAGCAGUUGGAAACGUUGAAGAGCCUCAAGUUAAUGGCGCACCAAGAAAAUUGUGCAAUCUGCAAUUGCUUUGGAAAGAGGGAAAAGAAAUUAGGCUUUCACUAUAGGGAACAAGUGUCUGGCAAAUCGAUGAAGAUGUAUAUAAGAACAAUCUAGGACCUUUUGUCUUAAUUGCAACUUCGACUAUUGUCAAAUCAUUUGGAGGCAAAAUCUCUUUGUCAUCAACCAAUGCAACAAAAGUAUAUCUAAAUCUUGAGAUUCCCGAGGUUGCAAAAAUAAUUGACAGGAAUGGUAAAAAACAUUAUCCUAUACAAGAAAUACCAAAAAUACAUGCAAAACAGUUUUCAGAUGAGGAUUUUUCUUCAAACAAUAUGAAGACAAUACCAGAGCUCAAAUGCAUUGAAUGGGA